AGUGAACGCUGGCGGUAGGCCUAACACAUGCAAGUCGAACGGCAGCACAGUAAGCGCUCUCCUCUACGGGUGGCGAGUGGCGGACGGGUGAGGCAUACAUCAGAUUCCUCUUUUUCUUGGGGGAUUACGUAGGGCCACUUAUGCUACUACCGCAUAUGUCGUACGGGUUAAUGCAGGGGUUCUUCGCACUUUUCGCGUCUCUUUUAGAUGAUGUCGGAUUAGCUAGUUGGCGAGGUAAAGGCCCACCAAGGCGACGAUCCGUAGCUGGUCUGAGAGGAUGAUCAGCCACACUGGAACUGAGACACGGUCCAGACUCCUACGGGAGGCAGCAGUGGGGAAUAUUCGGCAAUGGGCGAAAGCCUGAUGCAGCAAUGCCGCGUGAGUGAAGAAGGCCUUCGGAUUGUAAAGCCCUGUUGUUGGGAAAGAAAAGAAGUGGAAUAAUACCCCGCUGUUUUGACGGUACCCAAAGAAAAAGCACCGGCUAACUACGUG
This 492-nucleotide ribosomal RNA is filed under the name uncultured bacterium. RNAcentral's name for it is "partial 16S ribosomal RNA". It matches the Rfam family "Bacterial small subunit ribosomal RNA", at positions 29 to 507 of the family's 1533-position model. The record is from RNAcentral.